Long non-coding RNA from Monodelphis domestica (gray short-tailed opossum), 1898 nucleotides. NCBI's taxonomy places the organism in Eukaryota, Metazoa, Chordata, Mammalia, Didelphimorphia, Didelphidae. The record is from Ensembl.
AAGUAUUUUCAUGUUAAUGGCUACCAAAAAAACAGGCUGCAAUUUUCUUUUGAAUUCUGGUCCUCAGCCUUUUAAGAUGUUAAAUUGAUUUACCCUAGUUCAGGCCCUCAUCACCUCUUGCAACCUUUUUUUUUAACCCUCACCUUCCAUCUUAAAAUCAGUACUGUGUAUUGGUUCCAAGGCAGAAGAGUGGUAAGGACUAGGCAAAGGGGGUUAAGUGACUGACCCAAGGUCACACAGCUGGGAAGUGUUUGAGGUCAGAUUUGAACCCAAGUCUACCCAUCUCUAGACCUAGCUCUCAAUCCACUGAGCUACCUAACUGUCCCCAUUGUCUCUGUAAUUUCAAGUCUUAAAGGCCUGCCCAGAGGACUGAGAGGAGAAAUAUGUCCAGGGUCACACAAAUAAUAUGUCUCCAAAGAGGAAUUUGAACCCAAAUCUUUCUGGCUUUGAGCUCCUGAUACCAGAAGGAGGCUGUAAGCCUUGGGAUUUGGACCCCAAACUCCCACCUCCCACCUCCUCUAAGGGAUUUAACAGCAGAGAUUUGGCUCAGGCUGAGGAGGAGGAGGACCAUAAGGUUCCUGCCCAUUACAAGGAACAUGCACUGUUCCCUGAAGAUGCCACGUCCAACCAAGACCCUUCUGGUGGAGGCAUAAUGCUGUUUCAGCAGGAGAGCCCCCUCCCACCAUCUUGCUGUUGGUUUUUGACUCCUGUUGUUUUGAGGCACUUUUCAAAGAUCAUCAGAGGGGUUUCAGCUUUUGCUGCCAGCUUGUCUCUGCCAAUUGGCAGAGACAUAAUGACCAGAAUGGGAACAUCUUUUCCCCCCCUUCCACCUGUUAAGCUUUUGCUCCUCCCUUCUGGCCCCGCUUCUAAACCUAAUCAUGUCCCCUCUGAAGACUGAGACUUACCUGUCUUUGAGAUCUGGGAUAUGGGAGUCACUGGGAAAGCCCCCCACGCGGAGCCAGUCAAAGAUCCCCUUAACUGUCUCCACAGGAAGCAAUACCCCAUUAACCUGAAAGAAAGAAGGGAUCUCUAGCUCCUGACUGACCGAUUUCUUCAUGAUGGGCUUUUAACUUCUUGCCAAUUGCCCUGCAAUUCACCAGUCCUUCUGAUAAAGAAAUCAGUUGAGGAGUAUUGGAAGGUACAAGACCUUGGGGCAGUUAACAAGGCAGGUGUCCCUGUACAUCCCAUAGUUCCUAAUCCUUCCACCAUCCUGGCUUAAAUCCUUGGUAACACUCUCCGGCUCUCUGUUCUGGACCAACAAGAUGUUUUCUUUUGCACUUCUCUCAGUCAGGACUAUCAGUUUAUUUUUGCUUUUGAAUGGGCUUUACCCUCUGAACCUCUGCCCCAGCAUAUACAUGGACUAUAUUUCCCCAAGAAUUCAGGGAUUUGGGGGGGACUGCUCUCAGUAAAGACCUGAAGGAUCAUUUAAAUAAGAGUGUUAUCAUUCUGUAGGUAAAUGAUCUUUUACUCUGGAACCCUGAUCUUAAGACAUCCCACUAAGGCACUGUUAAAACCUUACAUUGCUUGGUGGUACCAGGUUUCAUUAAAGAAAGCCCAGAUCUCUCAGUAGCAAGUAAAGUACCCUGGCCAUGGGUUAACACCUAUCUGUCGGUCCUUAGUCCCCAACAGGAAGCAAGCUAUCCUUUCCAUUCCUCACCCAGUGUAAGGGUUAAAAAUUAAAGGGUUGGACUAAAUAUAUGAGUGUGGUCGCCAAAAUUAUUACUCAAGUCAGGAUGACUUUAUAGCAAUUUAUUUAUAAAAUCAAGGGAAAGAGUAAAAGUAAGGAAAUCAGAGAAAGAGUAGAUAAUUACUCCAGCUCAGCCAGAACCAGGCAGGGCUUCAGAGGCCCCAACAAAGGGGGCCCAGAGGUAAAUUAAACAAGGGUUCUAGCCACGAGG